CUCUAAGAGAACUGCCCGUGUAAGCCGGAGGAAGGUGUGGAUGACGUCAAGUCCUCAUGGGMUUACGGGUUGGGCUACACACGUGCUACAAUGGCAGUGACAAUGGGUUAAUCCCCAAAAGCUGUCUCAGUUCGGAUUGGGGUCUGCAACUCGACCCCAUGAAGUCGGAAUCGCUAGUAAUCGCGUAACAGCAUGACGNGGUGAAUACGUUCCCGGGCCUU
Molecule: ribosomal RNA, 221 nt
Filed under: uncultured marine bacterium pM-68
Lineage: Bacteria; Pseudomonadati; Pseudomonadota; Alphaproteobacteria
Description: partial 16S ribosomal RNA
Rfam family: Bacterial small subunit ribosomal RNA
Source: RNAcentral